AGGUUCAAGUGCGUAGGCUUAAGAGUUAGGUAAAUCCGGCUCUUUUUAAGGCUGAGACACGACGUCGAGCACCUACGGGUGUGAAGUCAUUGAUGCCAUGCUUCCAGGAAAAGCCUCUAAGCUUCAGAUUGUAAGGAAUCGUACCCCAAACCGACACAGGUGGUCGGGUAGAGAAUACCAAGGCGCUUGAGAGAACUCGGGUGAAGGAACUAGGCAAAAUGGUACCGUAACUUCGGGAGAAGGUACGCUCUCGACGGUGAAGUCCCUCGCGGAUGGAGCUAUUGAGAGUCGCAGAUACCAGGUGGCUGCAACUGUUUAUUAAAAACAC
This 328-nucleotide ribosomal RNA is filed under the name Vibrio parahaemolyticus. RNAcentral's name for it is "partial 23S ribosomal RNA". It matches the Rfam family "Bacterial large subunit ribosomal RNA", at positions 1508 to 1816 of the family's 2925-position model. Lineage: Bacteria; Pseudomonadati; Pseudomonadota; Gammaproteobacteria; Vibrionales; Vibrionaceae. The record is from RNAcentral.